AAGCUUCGGCAAACAUGAUAUUGACCGAAGCCCCCGUGUCUACGAGGAUUCGUCGAACAUCAAAGUUGGCUAUGUGAGCCUCCACGAUCAAUGGGUCGUUAUGAGGGUAGAUGAUGCCUCUUUCUUCCUCAGGGUAGAAACAUAUCGGAUCCCAGUUAGGUUUUUGAUACUUCCCUCCCCUGAUGUCUUCCACGUGAAACACUUGGUGACCAGGCCUCAGACUUCGUUCACUGUUUUUCAUGGCCCUAUUGGAAGAUUCAGAUAUGGG
This 268-nucleotide long non-coding RNA is filed under the name Malus domestica (apple). Its description in RNAcentral is "long non-coding RNA (MDOM_LNC020157)". The record is from RNAcentral. Lineage: Eukaryota; Viridiplantae; Streptophyta; Magnoliopsida; Rosales; Rosaceae.